Aedes albopictus (Asian tiger mosquito) is the source of this 369-nucleotide long non-coding RNA. RefSeq lists it as uncharacterized. NCBI's taxonomy places the organism in Eukaryota, Metazoa, Arthropoda, Insecta, Diptera, Culicidae. The transcript is spliced from 3 exons. The record is from RefSeq and is a predicted model, not a curated record.
CCUCCCAGAACUGCAAGGUGAUGCUAAGCAGGUCUUCCCUAAUAAAUAUGCAAAAUUCAUAGUUGAAUAGGUUCACCAUGUCCUCCCAGAACUGCAAGGUGAUGCUAAGAAGGUCUUCCCUAAUAAAUAUGUAAAAUUCAUAGUUGAAUAGGUUCACCAUGUCCUCCCAGAACUGCAAGGUGAUGCUAAGCAGGUCUUCCCUAAUAAAUAUGUAAAAUUCAUAGUUGAAAAGGUUCACCAUGUCCUCCCAGAACUGCAAGGUGAUGCUAAGAAGGUCUUCCCUAAUAAAUAUGUAAAAUUCAUAGUUGAAAAGGUUCACCAUGUCCUCCCAGAACUGCAAGGUGAUGCUAUGCAGGUCUUCCCUAAUAA